Molecule: long non-coding RNA, 264 nt
Filed under: Carica papaya (papaya)
Lineage: Eukaryota; Viridiplantae; Streptophyta; Magnoliopsida; Brassicales; Caricaceae
Description: long non-coding RNA (CPAP_LNC015035)
Source: RNAcentral
UGUACAUACCCUGUACCACGUCCGGGUUAGCGUCGGCAUCUUGCUGGGUGAGGUUGUAAACCCUGCCCUGAAAAGGAGGUCUUCCUUGGUUCUGGUUCCUUGGGCACUCUCUCGCAUAGUGUUGGGCACUACCACAUAUGCGACAGGUGUUGUUGAGGUGGUAGCAUGGUCGGUCCCCGUGAUCCCUGCCACAGUGCUGGCAGAUCUUUCCACGUGCUACCCCUGGAGCCUGAGGAGGGGCCUGGAUCACUGGUCUAGGCCUCU